Molecule: non-coding RNA, 687 nt
Organism: Arachis ipaensis
Lineage: Eukaryota; Viridiplantae; Streptophyta; Magnoliopsida; Fabales; Fabaceae
Source: RefSeq, a predicted model, not a curated record
CCCUUGCCAUUUUAUUCCAAAGUCAAAGAGUCCUAGCUCUAAUUCUUCUCGGAGCUCCCGUUGUCCCAUCUAGCCGCAUUUCCUAUGCUCGUCAUCCGUCACGUCUCGUGUCGUCGUCCGUCACAUGCUCGUUGUCCCUCACAUGCGCCAUCGCCAUCAUUGCUCGCGUGUCUCGUCCACGGGUUGUCCGCCAUUGCUGGUCGUCCGCCAUUAGUGGACCCAUCGCCUUGCUGCACCAGCCUUCGUCCCUCCCUUGCUGCCUGACUUGCUGGUCAUCAUCCCCAUGUUUUUGCCUCUACAAUAACAGAUUUUUGUUGGCAAUUUAGAUGCAAAUGUAAUAGAUGAUCAGCUGUGACAAGUCUUUGGGCAUUAUGGAGAGUUAGUUCAUGUGAAGAUUCCAUCCGACAAGAGAUGUGGAUUUGUGCAAUUUACCGACAGAUAUUUGAUGUUUGGUACUUUGGUAUUUGUGUAGCGUUCAAUUACUUUUUGCAUAAGAAGGUCCUGCCUGUGAUAUGAUUUUUAAUGCAUCAGGAAUUGGGCUAAAGAGGCACUGAGUUUUGAAUUGAACACUUUUAGGUGUGGAAAAUGUUAGGCUUUCAUGGGGACGGAGUCCUUCAAACAAACAGACUCAAGCAGACCCAAACCAGUGGAAUAGUAGUGGAUAUUAUGGAUAUGCACAAGACAAUG